Molecule: transfer RNA, 74 nt
Organism: Halothece sp. PCC 7418
Lineage: Bacteria; Bacillati; Cyanobacteriota; Cyanophyceae; Chroococcales; Halothecacae
Rfam family: tRNA
About the family: Transfer RNA (tRNA) molecules are approximately 80 nucleotides in length.
Source: Rfam
AGGGUUGUAGCUCAGUAGGAUAGAGCGAGCGCCUCCUAAGCGCUAGGUCGCCAGUUCGAGCCUGGCCAACCCUG